Maylandia zebra (zebra mbuna) is the source of this 187-nucleotide non-coding RNA. The record is from RefSeq and is a predicted model, not a curated record. Lineage: Eukaryota; Metazoa; Chordata; Actinopteri; Cichliformes; Cichlidae.
CGUAAUCGUCCUUCAGCGAUCACUGCUCGGCGUGUUUUGAGUCACCAGCCUGUCCACCUGCCUGUCCAGAAUUUGGAUCACGAUCAACCCCAGCCGCCUCGCCCUUUCUGGAGCUUCUCCCCACGGACCCUCACCCCUCCCUCCGGUUCCCUUGGCCCCGCUAUCAUCCCUCCCACGGUCCCGCUCU